AGGCUACUAUGAACGGUUUGACAAGAAUGAAGCUGUCUCUAGACAAGUUUUAUAGAAUUUGGUUUUUAGGUGAAGAAACCUAAAUAAAAUUGAAAGACAAGAAGACCCUAUCGAGCUUUAAAAAAAUUUUUUGACACCAUAGAAAACUAGUUUCAUUAAAAAAUUUUGGUUGGGGCGACUAAGGAACACAAAAAGCUUCCUAUAAAAUAUAAAAACUUUUAAGUCUUGAUCCAAAAGUUUUGAUUAACAGAAUUAGUUACCGUAGGGAUAACAGCAUAAUCUUUCUUAAGAGUUCUUAUCGAAAGAAAGGUUUGUGACCUCGAUGUUGGACUAGGGUACCCAGAAAGGUGUAGAAGCCUUCAAUGGUUGGUCUGUUCGACCACUAAUACCCU
RNAcentral lists this ribosomal RNA (392 nucleotides) under Pyrgulopsis bifurcata. RNAcentral describes it as "partial 16S ribosomal RNA". It matches the Rfam family "Bacterial large subunit ribosomal RNA", at positions 1984 to 2597 of the family's 2925-position model. Lineage: Eukaryota; Metazoa; Mollusca; Gastropoda; Littorinimorpha; Hydrobiidae. The record is from RNAcentral.